Non-coding RNA from Nicotiana tabacum (common tobacco), 1137 nucleotides. The record is from RefSeq and is a predicted model, not a curated record. NCBI's taxonomy places the organism in Eukaryota, Viridiplantae, Streptophyta, Magnoliopsida, Solanales, Solanaceae.
UGCCCAAAUCCUUGAUUUUAAAUUCAGCAUGAAGAAAUUCCUUUAGCUGAACUUGUUCAAUUGGAUCAUCCCCUAUAAUUAGAAUGUCAUCCACAUAUACUGUGAUGAGAAUAAUCUUCCCAUCUGAUUUAAAGUUCAAAGCUGCAGUUAGCCUGACAUACCACUGUUUUGAGGCUUGCCGCAGUUCAUAAAGUGACUUCCUUAAAAGACAGACAUGAUUAGGGGAAGGUGGUGAUAUUCCUGGUGGAAACUUCAUAAACACUUCUUCCUGCAAAUCACCAUGCAGGAAGGCAUUAUUGACGUCUAGUUGAAAUAAAUCCCAUCCUUUCUUGACUGCUAUUGCAAGAUUACACCUAAUAAUUGUCAUCUUAACCACCGGUGAAAAAGUCUCCAUGAAAUAAAUUUCUUCUCUUUGUGUGUCUCCUCUAAUGACCAAACGAGCUUUGAACCUUUCUAAAGAACCAUCAGAUUUAUAUUUUACCUUGUAAAUUCAUUUACAAGGUAGAGCCCCUUCCCUGUAGGCAAAGGAAUAAAAUCGCAACUCUUAUUUGCCUCAAAUUCUUUAGCCAUAGCCUCCUACCAACCUGGGUGAAGUGAUACUUAAGAGUAGAAUAUUGGCUCAGAUAUAUAUGAAAUAGAUUUGAGCAUGAUUUGAUUUGUGGGAGAAAGAGCACAAAAAGGCAAUACAAUUGAUUUAAUAGGUGCAAAGAAACAAGAAUCAGUAAGGUAACAGAAGACAAACAAUAUUCAGAAGAGGUGAAUGAGAAUGAGUAAUUGAGAUAUGUGACGUAGGAUAGAUAAGAGAACUUCUAGCAAAUGGUAUUGGUGACUGGGAGUAGAUAGUUGAAAGUGGUGAAUAAGAACCAUGCAUGGUGAACCCCUAGCAAUAGAGUCAUGGUUGGAAAAAGUGGUAGUAGGUGAAGAAGGAAACUCAGAAAUAGGAACUCCAUGCUGAGAAGGCAAUGUAGGAAAAAGAGGUUGAUUUCUCACUUUAGAAAAAAAAGGAAAAAUGAAUUCAUGAAAUUUAACAUCACUAGAAACAAAAAGUUUCAUGUUUUGUAAAUUUAAAAACUUGUAACCCUUCUUCCCAAAAGAAUAUAAAGACACAAGGGACUGACCUUGGGUCAAGUUUACUUA